AACUGCUCCGCUCCCUGACAGGAUUUUUCAUUCAUUCGUGCCAAUGAAACAGGAGGCCUCGAUUCGUGCAGAAGAUAAGGUUUGAAACCCAGACAGCACGAAGCAUCUUGCCGACGUCAAAAUCAGAUCAACAGACAGGGACAUCAGCCUUCUCUUGGGAAUAGGCCAGAUAUGCCAUAACAAGAAAUGGUGUUUUGCCCCUGCGGUUGUGGAGAGGAUGCUGUGGAGGUGGCAGCAUGAACGUGUCACACAGACAAUGGCUAAACUACUCUGCUUCUACACUUGCCCUCAGAGUUCACAUAUGGUGACGUGCACAGGUGUCCAGUCAGGUUCAGACUGAUGCUGGUAACAAGAGGAAAACAUGCUAAUUGUAUUUCCUCAUGUGGGAACUUUUGGACCUUUUUGCUUUGAUGCUGACAUUACUACCCGUGUACUUCAACCCCUCUGCUGCCACUGGGUCCUCAACGAGAAAAUAAACUGAUCUACC
This is a long non-coding RNA of Engraulis encrasicolus (European anchovy), 487 nucleotides long. RefSeq lists it as uncharacterized. The record is from RefSeq and is a predicted model, not a curated record. Lineage: Eukaryota; Metazoa; Chordata; Actinopteri; Clupeiformes; Engraulidae. The transcript has 6 exons.